Molecule: long non-coding RNA, 742 nt
Organism: Zalophus californianus (California sea lion)
Lineage: Eukaryota; Metazoa; Chordata; Mammalia; Carnivora; Otariidae
Exons: 3
Source: RefSeq, a predicted model, not a curated record
UCCUUGCCUUUCUUCCUUCCUUCAGUACAUUCAUAUUGAGCGAUUACUUUGUGCUCAGCAUUGUUCUAGUGCUGGGGGUACAGCAGGGAAAGAUCUCUGCGACCGUGAAAUUUACUUUCUAGUGGAGGGAGGUAGACAAUAAGCAAGGAAAAAAAAAAAAAGAAUGGGCUAUCUGAUGAGAUAUGUGCUGUGGAGAAAAGAAAGAAAACCAUAGACAGAGGAGAACAUGGAAGUGACUCAGGAGGCAAGACCAUCAGCUGGGAUGCGGGCAGGGAAAGGGUCUCGGAGACAGGAGGGCAGAGGAGAAGCCACGCAGCCGUUGCCUGGGAAGGCACGAAAGGAGGCCCUGGCAAUGCAGCGUGGGCAGACGUGCAACGUGGGGACUUAACAGCAUGCUGCAGAUCAGGGUCCAGGAGAAGGAAUGCGCCCAGCACACCUCAAGCUUCCAAGACUGGAUUUACAUCUUUAGGCAAGCUCCCCUGCCCCCAUAUCCAAACUGCGCGUGUGGGGAGCGGGCCCUUGCUUUGGGGUGGUCUUACAAGGUCCCCUAUGCCACUGAGCCUAAUGUACCCAUAAAGCAGAUACUAUCCCUGUCAUGUCCUUAGGAAAAAGACCCCCAUCUCCUGGGCAAGAGCCAGUGUUGGGCUGCCCUGUCUGGUUUAAUUGUCCUUGUAUUUUUGGGUCUGUUUUUUGGCAGAGGCUGCUUUUCCUAGAUGACUUAACAUCUGUUAGCUUGCUUCUA